ACCAUCGGAAGAAGCUGCCCUUUAAUGUUUAAAUCAAGGUGGCUCCCUCGUGAACAAGCCCCAUAGUAUGCUGACUAAAAAGGAAUAACCCCUCCAGCCGUAACCAUCGGAAGAAGCUGCCCUUUAAUGUUUAAAUCAAGGUGGCUCCCUCGUGAACAAGCCCCAUAGUAUGCUGACUAAAAAGGAAUAACCCCUCCAGCCGUAACCAUCGGAAGAAGCUGCCCUUUAAUGUUUAAAUCAAGGUGGUUAAAUAGUACUAUUAGCUCAGGCUGGAAGUUGCUGUAAAGGAUCCAUGACUGCCUAAAUUUCAGGGAAUCAAUUUGCAUCUCCCUAAAAUACCUCCCUAAAAUACUUCCCUAAGAAGUACUUUUAAUUGAGUAUUUUAAAUCAAAUACAGUGAAACUCACUUGAAAUCUGGCAAAAACACAGAAAAUUGAAUUCAAACAAAUGUAUAUCCAUCUCUCGAGAUAAUCAGGCUAUUUACCCAGCUGAACUCCUGGCUAUAGUAGGGACGGUUUAAUUACACCUCCCCCUUAAAGCGAGGUUUUAAAAACCUCGCAGGAACCCGCCAUUUUUUCAAACUGGAUCCUACAGGUAACUUCCUUACCUACCUUAAUAUGUCGCUCUAAGCGCAUUUAGACUAUAUUGUUUUUACUCCAUGGACAAGAUUUGAACGCUAUUGUAGGUACAAGGCUAAUUAUAAAUCCUAGCAGCAGUACAGAGUGGCUCCCUCGUGAACAAGCCCCAUAGUAUGCUGACUAAAAAGGAAUAACCCCUCCAGCCGUAACCAUCGGAAGAAGCUGCCCUUUAAUGUUUAAAUCAAGGUGGUUAAAUAGUACUAUUAGCUCAGGCUGGAAGUUGCUGUAAAGGAUCCAUGACUGCCUAAAUUUCAGGGAAUCAAUUUGCAUCUCCCUAAAAUACCUCCCUAAAAUACUUCCCUAAGAAGUACUUUUAAUUGAGUAUUUUAAAUCAAAUACAGUGAAACACACUUGA
This is a long non-coding RNA of Protopterus annectens (West African lungfish), 993 nucleotides long. RefSeq lists it as uncharacterized. The record is from RefSeq and is a predicted model, not a curated record. Lineage: Eukaryota; Metazoa; Chordata; Ceratodontiformes; Protopteridae. The transcript is spliced from 3 exons.